This 459-nucleotide ribosomal RNA is filed under the name uncultured bacterium. Its description in RNAcentral is "partial 16S ribosomal RNA". It matches the Rfam family "Bacterial small subunit ribosomal RNA", at positions 338 to 795 of the family's 1533-position model. The record is from RNAcentral.
CCUACGGGUGGCAGCAGUGAGGAAUAUUGGUCAAUGGCCGAGAGGCUGAACCAGCCAAGUCGCGUGAGGGAAGACGGCCCUACGGGUUGUAAACCUCUUUUGUCGGGGAGCAAAGCGAGUCACGUGUGACUCAUUGAGAGUACCCGAAGAAAAAGCAUCGGCUAACUCCGUGCCAGCAGCCGCGGUAAUACGGAGGAUGCGAGCGUUAUCCGGAUUUAUUGGGUUUAAAGGGUGCGCAGGCGGAGGUGCAAGUCAGCGGUCAAAUUGCGGGGCUCAACCCCGUACUGCCGUUGAAACUGCAUGCCUUGAGUGCGCGAGAGGGAGGCGGAAUGCGUGGUGUAGCGGUGAAAUGCAUAGAUAUCACGCAGAACUCCGAUUGCGAAGGCAGCAUACCGGCGCGCAACUGACGCUCAUGCACGAAGGCGUGGGUAUCGAACAGGAUUAGAUACCCUUGUAGUC